GAUGAAGAACGCAGCGAAAUGCGAUACGUAAUGUGAAUUGCAAAUUCAGUGAAUCAUCGAGUCUUUGAACGCACGUUGCGCCCCCUGGUAUUCCGGGGGGCAUGCCUGUCCGAGCGUCAUUGCUGCCCUCAAGCACGGCUUGUGUGUUGGGCCCCGUCCUCCGAUCCCGGGGGACGGGCCCGAAAGGCAGCGGCGGCACCGCGUCCGGUCCUCGAGCGUAUGGGGCUUUGUCACCCGCUCUGUAGGCCCGGCCGGCGCUUGCCGAUCAACCCAAAUUUUUAUCCAGGUUGACCUCGGAUCAGGUAGGGAUACCCGCUGAACUUAAGCAUAUCAAUAAGCGGAGGA
Molecule: unclassified non-coding RNA, 345 nt
Filed under: soil metagenome
Description: partial contains 5.8S ribosomal RNA, internal transcribed spacer 2, and large subunit ribosomal RNA
Rfam family: 5.8S ribosomal RNA (bases 1-119)
Source: RNAcentral